Molecule: ribosomal RNA, 473 nt
Filed under: uncultured bacterium
Lineage: Bacteria
Description: bacterial SSU rRNA
Rfam family: Bacterial small subunit ribosomal RNA
Source: RNAcentral
ACUCCUACGGGAGGCAGCAGUGGGGAAUAUUGCACAAUGGGCGCAAGCCUGAUGCAGCCAUGCCGCGUGUAUGAAGAAGGCCUUCGGGUUGUAAAGUACUUUCAGCAGUGAGGAAGGUGGGUAGUGUUAAUAGCAUAUUCAUUUGUACGUUAGCUGCAGAAGAAGCACCGGCUAACUCCGUGCCAGCAGCCGCGGUAAUACGGAGGGUGCGAGCGUUAAUCGGAAUUACUGGGCGUAAAGCGCAUGCAGGUGGUUUGUUAAGUCAGAUGUGAAAGCCCGGGGCUCAACCUCGGAAUUGCAUUUGAAACUGGCAAACUAGAGUACUGUAGAGGGGGGUAGAAUUUCAGGUGUAGCGGUGAAAUGCGUAGAGAUCUGAAGGAAUACCGGUGGCGAAGGCGGCCCCCUGGACAGAUACUGACACUCAGAUGCGAAAGCGUGGGGAGCAAACAGGAUUAGAUACCCUGGUAGGCUCU